Molecule: ribosomal RNA, 117 nt
Filed under: Diaphorina citri (Asian citrus psyllid)
Lineage: Eukaryota; Metazoa; Arthropoda; Insecta; Hemiptera; Psyllidae
Source: RNAcentral
GUCAGCGGCGAUAGCGGGUUGAAUGCUUCAGUUCCUGUUGGAUCACUCAAGUUAAACAACCUUGGAGUGGUUGGUAUCUGAAUGGGUGACCAUCAGGGCGAUCGCGUGCUGCUGGCU